GACGAACGCUGGCGGCGUGCUUAACACAUGCAAGUCGAACGGAAAGGCCCUGCUUUUGUGGGGUGCUCGAGUGGCGAACGGGUGAGUAACACGUGAGUAACCUGCCCUUGACUUUGGGAUAACUUCAGGAAACUGGGGCUAAUACCGGAUAGGAGCUCCUGCUGCAUGGUGGGGGUUGGAAAGUUUCGGCGGUUGGGGAUGGACUCGCGGCUUAUCAGCUUGUUGGUGGGGUAGUGACUUACCAAGGCUUUGACGGGUAGCCGGCCUGAGAGGGUGACCGGCCACAUUGGGACUGAGAUACGGCCCAGACUCCUACGGGAGGCAGCAGUGGUGAAUAUUGCACAAUGGGCGGAAGCCUGAUGCAGCAACGCCGCGUGCGGGAUGACGGCCUUCGGGUUGUAAACCGCUUUCGCCUGUGACGAAGCGUGAGUGACGGUAAUGGGUAAAGAAGCACCGGCUAACUACGUG
Molecule: ribosomal RNA, 468 nt
Filed under: uncultured bacterium
Lineage: Bacteria
Description: partial 16S ribosomal RNA
Rfam family: Bacterial small subunit ribosomal RNA
Source: RNAcentral